GAUGAAGAACGUAGCGAAAUGCGAUAAGUAAUGUGAAUUGCAGAAUCCAGUGAAUCAUCGAAUCUUUGAACGCACAUUGCGCCCGCCAGUAUUCUGGCGGGCAUGCCUGUUCGAGCGUCAUUUCAACCCUCAAGCCCCCGGGCUUGGUGUUGGGGAUCGGCGUGCCCUCGCGGCGCGCCGUCCCCUAAAUCUAGUGGCGGUCUCGCUGUAGCUUCCUCUGCGUAGUAGCAACACUCGCACUGGAUCGCAGCGCGGCCACGCCGUUAAACCCCCCACUUCUGAAAGUUUGACCUCGGAUCAGGUAGGAAUACCCGCUGAACUUAAGCAUAUCAAUAAGCGGAGGA
RNAcentral lists this unclassified non-coding RNA (344 nucleotides) under soil metagenome. RNAcentral describes it as "partial contains 5.8S ribosomal RNA, internal transcribed spacer 2, and large subunit ribosomal RNA". The stretch from base 1 to 120 matches the Rfam family "5.8S ribosomal RNA", at positions 35 to 154 of the family's 154-position model. The record is from RNAcentral.